Molecule: small nuclear RNA, 104 nt
Filed under: Dasypus novemcinctus (nine-banded armadillo)
Lineage: Eukaryota; Metazoa; Chordata; Mammalia; Cingulata; Dasypodidae
Source: RNAcentral
GUGCUUUGCUUUGGCAGCACAUAGACUAAAAUCGGAACGAUGCAGAGAUUAGUAUGGCCCUGUGCAGGGACGGCGUGCAGAUUCGUGAAGUAAACCAUAUUUUU